This 253-nucleotide unclassified non-coding RNA is filed under the name uncultured Gemmatimonadota bacterium. RNAcentral describes it as "uncultured Gemmatimonadetes bacterium contains 16S-23S intergenic spacer region". It matches the Rfam family "Bacterial small subunit ribosomal RNA", at positions 524 to 776 of the family's 1533-position model. The record is from RNAcentral. Lineage: Bacteria; Pseudomonadati; Gemmatimonadota.
AACGGAGGGCGCAAGCGUUGUUCGGAAUUACUGGGCGUAAAGUGCGCGCAGGCGGGUCGGGAAGUCGGCGGUGAAAGUCCAGGGCUCAACCCUGGAAUGGCCUCCGAAACUCCCGUCCUAGGGAUCGGUAGAGGUCGGUGGAAUUCCCGGAGUAGCGGUGGAAUGCGUAGAGAUCGGGAAGAACACCCGUGGCGAAGGCGACCGACUGGGCCGAAUCCGACGCUGAGGCGCGAAAGCGUGGGGAGCAAACAGG